This 254-nucleotide ribosomal RNA is filed under the name uncultured bacterium. RNAcentral describes it as "partial 16S ribosomal RNA". It matches the Rfam family "Bacterial small subunit ribosomal RNA", at positions 524 to 776 of the family's 1533-position model. The record is from RNAcentral.
UACGGAGGGUGCAAGCGUUGUCCGGAAUUAUUGGGCGUAAAGAGCUCGUAGGCGGUGUGUCACGUCGGCCGUGAAAACCUGCAGCUUAACUGUGGGCGUGCGGUCGAUACGGGCAUCACUGGAGUUCGGCAGGGGAGACUGGAAUUCCUGGUGUAGCGGUGAAAUGCGCAGAUAUCAGGAGGAACACCGGUGGCGAAGGCGGGUCUCUGGGCCGAUACUGACGCUGAGGAGCGAAAGCGUGGGGAGCAAACAGG